GCUCGCUCCCGCCGAGAGCCCGCUGCGCGGGCGCGCGCGCCCCGUCUGGCUGCUAGGCGACGGCGAGGACCCGGAGAAGCCUCCGGCAAUCCACCACCAACCAAGAGGCUACAAUGAAUUAUUUAUCUGCUCUUGAGCUGCAUAAAAAUGGAACCCUACAAGACAGGAUCUCACUCUGACAUCCACGCUGGAUUGCAGUGGCUUGGUCAUAGCUCGCUGGAACCUCCAACUCCUGGGCACAAGUGAUCCUCCUGCCUCAGCCCCCAGAGUAGCUGGGACUACAAGUGUG
Lemur catta (Ring-tailed lemur) is the source of this 289-nucleotide long non-coding RNA. RefSeq lists it as uncharacterized. The transcript is spliced from 3 exons. Lineage: Eukaryota; Metazoa; Chordata; Mammalia; Primates; Lemuridae. The record is from RefSeq and is a predicted model, not a curated record.